RNAcentral lists this ribosomal RNA (332 nucleotides) under uncultured bacterium. RNAcentral describes it as "bacterial SSU rRNA". It matches the Rfam family "Bacterial small subunit ribosomal RNA", at positions 568 to 898 of the family's 1533-position model. The record is from RNAcentral.
CGUGUAGGCGGCCUUUUAAGUCUGAUGUGAAAGCCCGGGGCUUACCCCCGGAAGUGCAUUGGAGACUGGGAGGCUCGAGUACCGGAGAGGAGGGUGGAAUUCCUGGUGUAGCGGUGAAAUGCGUAGAUAUCAGGAGGAACACCGGUGGCGAAGGCGGCCCUCUGGACGGAUACUGACGCUGAGACGCGAAAGCGUGGGGAGCAAACAGGAUUAGAUACCCUGGUAGUCCACGCUGUAAACGAUGGGCACUAGGUGUUCGGGGUAUUGACCCCCUGAGUGCCGCAGCUAACGCAUUAAGUGCCCCGCCUGGGGACUACGGCCGCAAGGUUAAA